AUAAAGAAUAAAAAAAACUUGUCUAUAUCCUGCCCCUGGUCAAAGUAGACUAAAGUGACCAGCUCUGAAAGAAGGGUGUAGUUAGCGGUCGGUGAAAUCUAUUUUAAUCCGGGAAAUAUUUCCGUAUUUCCGACAGUUGGUGAACGACAACGGUGCCUAAAAAGUGUGUGGCUUGAGAAUGUUAGCUUUCUGCAAAGCUCGGAGACCUGUUGCGAUUCAGGACCGUUCAUCGAUCAUCGCUUGCUGUUCGUGGCCAGACAUGCAAGUAUCACCAUGGUGCGUAUUUUGUCUGGAAACGAGAUACUUAUGCAUAUUCUUCGUAUGGUGGCAUCCGGAAACUAACGAAAACAAAAUUCAAGAAUUUUUACCCACCACGUUCCAGAAUACGAGGAUCUUAAAAACAUUACUUCACAGCUGAGCAUCCGAAAUUUUCCCUGAACAACGCGAUAGCUUUCUUCUUCAGAGAAUCCGAGGCAAAACUGAGAAAAGCUAUCAUUUUACUGAAUGAGCUGAAAUUCAUACUGGAUAAAGCCGCCGACACUCGCUGCCUAGAAUCAUAUGGAAGAACCAAAGGUGAAGAAAGCUUCCGUCAAGUGUAAGAGAAGGAACAGCACUAGCAUCCUAUUUCUGCUUCGGAUCAAGCAGUCUAGCGUAACACUAUCGGGAAUACCUUGUGCUACACUGUAUUCGUGACUCGCUGGCUUCCGUGCCUUAGUUGUAUAUUUAAGGCAUAGAAAAGUGUCCUCUUCGAACGGCGGGAUAACUUAACCUAGUAAUUUCAACUAUGACAUGAAUCCACUGGGGGCAUAUUCGUCGCUAGUGUACUUAAUUAUCCUGAUGAAGUGUGA
Uranotaenia lowii is the source of this 848-nucleotide long non-coding RNA. RefSeq lists it as uncharacterized. The transcript is spliced from 3 exons. NCBI's taxonomy places the organism in Eukaryota, Metazoa, Arthropoda, Insecta, Diptera, Culicidae. The record is from RefSeq and is a predicted model, not a curated record.